GCGUGCCUAACACAUGCAAGUCGAGCGAAGCGGUUUUAAGGAAGUUUUCGGAUGGAAUUAAAACUGACUGAGCGGCGGACGGGUGAGUAACGCGUGGGUAACCUGCCUCAUACGGGGGGAUAACAGUUAGAAAUGGCUGCUAAUACCGCAUAAGCACACAGCUUCGCAUGGAGCAGUGUGAAAAACUCCGGUGGUAUGAGAUGGACCCGCGUCUGAUUAGCUAGUUGGUAAGCUAACGGCUUACCAAGGCGACGAUCAGUACCCGACCUGAGAGGGUGACCGGCCACAUUGGGACUGAGACACGGCCCAAACUCCUACGGGAGGCAGCAGUGGGGAAUAUUGCACAAUGGGGGAAACCCUGAUGCACCGACGCCGCGUGAGUGAAAAAGUAUCUCGGUAUGUAAAGCUCUAUCAGCAGGGAAGAAAAUGACGGUACCUGACUAAGACGCCCCGGCUAACUACGUGCCAGCAGCCGCGGUAAUACGUAGGGGGCAAGCGUUAUCCGGAUUUACUGGGUGUAAAGGGAGCGUAGACGGCGGAGCAAGUCUGAAGUGAAAGCCCGGGGCUCAACCCCGGGACUGCUUUGGAAAACUUGUUCUGCUAGAGUGCUGGAGAGGUAAGUGGAAUUCCUAGUGUAGCGGUGAAAUGCGUAGAUUUUAGGAGGAACACCAGUGGCGAAGGCGGCUUACUGGACAGUAACUGACGUUGAGGCUG
Molecule: ribosomal RNA, 714 nt
Filed under: uncultured bacterium
Lineage: Bacteria
Description: bacterial SSU rRNA
Rfam family: Bacterial small subunit ribosomal RNA
Source: RNAcentral